AACGAACGCUGGCGGCGUGCCUAACACAUGCAAGUCGAGGGAGAAAACCGCAAGGUGAGUACACCGGCGAACGGGUGCAUAACACGUGGACAACCUACCUCAUCGACUGGGAUAACUGGGCGAAAGCCUUGCUAAUACCAGAUAAGCCCACGCCUUCCACGGAAGGAGAGGGAAAAGUCGGCCACUGCAAGCAAGCUGACACGAUGAGAUGGGGUCCGCGGCCCAUCAGCUAGUUGGCGGGGUAACGGCCCACCAAGGCAACGACGGGUA
RNAcentral lists this ribosomal RNA (270 nucleotides) under uncultured bacterium. Its description in RNAcentral is "partial 16S ribosomal RNA". It matches the Rfam family "Bacterial small subunit ribosomal RNA", at positions 29 to 285 of the family's 1533-position model. The record is from RNAcentral.